UCUCCACCACCCGCCGGGCCGGACUGGGCAGGGCUGCCAGCGCUCGCUCCCGCCCGGGCUUGGCCGGGGUCCAGGCUGGGCCACACGCCUCUCCUCUGGCCCUGCUCAGCCCGGUCCAGCUCACGCACGGCCUCAGCCCGCCCUUUUAGGUCCUUUCCCGCCUCCUCAGCUGUAGACCAGCGACAGAGAGAUGACCAAAGCUUCACUUUCCUUACUCCUCUGUCACCCUCUAAAUACCUCCUCCUGCAAGCAUCGUCCCCCGCGCGCUGACCCCCUAAACUUUCACAUUCGUCCAGCACCAAUCUCCAACUUCGGGCUUGGAGGCAGGUACCAGAGCCUGAGAAAGGGACGGCGGCUAUGAUAUCUCUGGGAAGGCAUCGCAGCACGCCCAUCCACAUGAAAACUCCGCAGCACCCCCAAUGCGGCGGGCUCGAUGUCCCCGAACUUCCUUGGCCUACCAUCGCCAUCGCCCCAUUUUCCGCGAUAGAAACACUGAGAUCAGAGCGGGCGAAACGCUUUUCCGAUCUGAUGACAGGCCCAAGACUGCAGAAGAAUGGAGCAAUCACCACUUGCCUUCUGGCAGGCCUCCCCCUCCUCCCAGACUGCUGCCUCCUGAAGUGGCUGGCACCAUCCACACCCCUGGUACUGCCACUAGGCUGAAAAGGCCUCCUAGAGGAUAUGGGCACCAAAGGGACAUGAACACAUGAGUAGGAGCUGCCUGCCUGGAAACAUUAGAAGGGACCGAGGCGGCGAGAUGUCUAAAAUAGGAAGAUGCUGGGGACGGCUGGCCUGGCUGCCCGCGAUGCUGGCUGCGGGGAUCUGGUCCGGCAGUGCAGCUGGAAAAGCUAGGAGGUAAGGCAGACACAGGACUUAACAUCUGGAAGCCGGCUCUGGGGCCCCGGGGGCCUGUGCGAAUGGGUGGGGAGGCUGGCCUACUCGUAGGAGGGGACAGGGGUGUCUGCCGUUCACCACCUAGCGCCCCAAAGCCCAGGGGCUUCUCCUAGGCCUUGCAGGAACCUCCCACUCAAAUCUGUUCUCAGACAUUUCCUGCAGUGUGGGAUGCAGAAAUUGACUCAUCCAUCCAUUCAGUCACUAAAUAUUUUUUGAAAAUCCAGUCCUUGCCAGACACUGUUCUGUGCUGGGUAUGCAGCAGAGAGCAAGAUGCAGUGUCCGGUACACUGCAGGGACACCAGCUACUGCAGUGGAGUGUGCAGCAUAGUAGUUCCUCGGGAACACAGAACGGUCACGGGGCUCCCUGAAGUAAAAGGCACCUCAGCCAGGGCCUAAAGGAUACAUAGGAGAUAGUCGGGUAAAGAAGGAUCAAAGGCCUGCACAGUGGACGUUUGUCGGAUUUGUCCCAGUGGCUGAGGAAUGAAUAGAUGAGUUGAGAGAGAGCUGGAGAGGGAGGGCAGAGAGGGGCAAGUUGGAAAUCUGGCUGGUGACAUGAUCCCAGUUGCCUUGGGGGCCUGGGAAGGGCUGUGUGUCAUAGCUUCAACAAGAGCAGCUGUAGUCACAUGGGUUGUGACUGUAGUUGUUAAGCCCCCACCCACCAUAGUACCAUUUGCAGAGUUUACCCACGCUGGCCCCUGUGAGCCUCCCAAGGUUACUUCUCAUAGAAACCCAGUUCAUAGACAAGUACAAUGCAGCUUAGAGAUGUGUCCAGGCCACGGCUUGUGAGUGCCACCUGGGCAGGUCUGUGCCUCAGAGAGGCCAAAGCCUUGGUGCCAGAGAGGGAAGACAAACAUACUGUCAUUAGCUCAGCAUCACCCUAGUCCAAGCCAGUGAGGCUCAUAGGGCUCACGGUACCACGGGCUCACAGUACCAUGGGCUCACAGUACCACGGGCUCACAGCACCACGGGCUCACAGUACCAUGGGCUCACAGUACCAUGGGCUCACAGUACCAUGGACUCACAGCAGGAAAAACUUCAUCUGGGCCCAGCAGGAGAAAUGGGACCAAGGUCUGGAUGGGAUGAACAGGGGGGAGGGACGGCAGAGGGAGGUGUGCUCAGGCCGAUAUGGAGACAGGAGCAGAGGAGACCUGGGCUGACAAGGGAAUGUGUGUGGGGAGCAGACCAUCGUUAGGCUAGAGGAGAUUAGGACGAUAAGAGCAGGGGGACAGAGAGCUGGGACCAGAGGGACAGCUGGAGUGUGAGCUUACUCCAAGGGCCACAGGAAGCUGGAAGCAUCUGUUCAGAGGUUGACCUCCUUUCCAGGGGAUGCCUGGGUGAUCCUUUGAGCAGCCCUUUCCCAACCUCCCCCACAUGCAGCACUUCCUGCUGAAGAAAAGAAGCCAUCUGCCCCUCUGCAUUGCUGAAUGCUAGGAGCUGAGCCUCAGUGACCUGCUUUUUUGGAGGAAUGGCUGUGGAGUUACGGUAGAGGGAUUAGGAGGAGAGAGAUGAGGGACAGGCAGGCAUCUACAGGAUUCAGAUGAAGGUUUUCUUGCUAGGAGUCCGUGGUAAUGGUCUGCACUGAGUGGGCUUGGAACAAGGCAAUGCUGACCAAUGGCAGCGUCUCUACUGGGUCCAUCCCAGCUCCCAGCUGCCGCCUAGCUGCUCCCAGAGAGCCAGCAGCUGCUGACGUGGUCAGCCUGGCCACAAGGAGGUUCCCCCUGUUCCUUCACCCCUCCUCCCUACCUUGGAUGACAGGAUUCCAGCUCCCAGCCUCCUGCUGCCUUAAUUACAGGAAGGCCAGGCCCUACCCAGGCCUACUGUGGGCACCAGGCUCCCUGGAAUUCUUCACUAAAGAUGCCUGGGGAGGGCUGUUGGCAGGUGGAGGAGGCCUAAGUAUAGGGACCAUAUUCCUUGAACCAAUAGGUGAAGUCCUUAGGGUCAUGGGGGUGUUGGGGAUCUGGGGGCUCUGGGGUUCAUUUGCAGAUAGGGAGCCAGAGCUUCUUUCUGAGCAUGCCGGAUGGACUGAGGCUGGGUAUGCUAUAGCACACCUGUGAUUCCAAGCACUGGGGAGGCUGUGGUAGGAGGACAGUGAGUUCAAGACCAGCUUUAACUACAUAGUAAGACCCUAAGGACUGGGGCAGGCUGGCAGGAUGGCUUGGUGGGUAAAAGCACUUGCCACCCAGACCUGACACCCUGAUUUUGAUCUGUGGAAUUCACAGCAGAAAGAGAGAAACUGUAAAUGGAAGCAGAGUUUUCUGUCCUGACUGCCCAGCCCAAAUAAACAUACAAAAGCUUAUAUUAAUUACAGAAUGCUCAGCCAAUAGCUCAGGCUUAUUAUUAACUAGCUCUUACUUUUAAAUUAACCCAUUUCUAUUCAUCUAUGUAUUACCAGGUGGCCUGUGGCUUUACUGGUCCCCUGGCAUCUUGCUCUUUGGGUGGCUCACUUGAGUCUCCCUCAGCUCCACCUUUCUUCACCCAGUCAUCAGUUUGGUUGUCCUGCCUAACUUUACCCUGCCUUGCUAUAGGCCAAACAGCUUUAUUAUUAACCAAUGAGUGUAAUACGUAUUCACAGUGUACAGAAGGAUCAUCCCACAGCAUCUCCCCCUUUCUGACUAAUCAAAAAGGAAGGUUUUAACUUUAACAUACUAAAAUUACAUAUAACAAACAGUUAUCAAGCAAUAAUUAUAGUUACAAUAUCUAGUCUAUUUUUAUUUGACAAAAUCAGAGAAAACAUUCAAUAAUCUAGCCUAUCUUGGUGAGUCUAAAGUUUCACAUCUAAUCUACCUUUUAUCAUAACUAAGGAAAACUAUAAUUAUAACUACCUAAUCUUCAACUCCAUCAAAGAUCUGAGAAGGAAAUAAUAUUACCUAAGUAAGCAGUAAGCACAGGCAAGUGACUUCCAAAAAUUGUGGGAAAUGACAGAGACAGCUGGCUGCUUGAGCAGUCAUCCACGUUUCCUCUGUAAUGCUGGGCAUGGCGUUCAUUUCUGGCCUACAGGCCUAGCAUAUCUGCCAGACUUUCCUGUGAAGCAGGGAUUUUUGAAGGACUGUCCUACCUGGUUUUGGCGAAGUUUUGUAGUCGCCUUUUUUGUGUCCUGCUGGUCCAGUUUGGAUAGUAACUGUCAGCAUUGAGGCAAGGGCAGGUUCCUUGCCCACGUGGCUAGCUUUUGCCAUAUAGAAAGCAAGCAAACUCAUUAUGGAGUUUCUUCAAUGUCCAUCAUCUUUUCUGGACUAUAUUGGUGCUGUCAGGAGCAGACAUGUCUCACUGUCAUGAAAAGUCUAAGUUAUUAAAACAUUUUAAAUGUCAUAUUCUGUAGGUCUUUGAAGUGUUUGAAGAUUACCUAUCUAUAUGAAAUAUAUCUUUGUAUACCUAGAAAACCUAAUUAACAUGACUAUAAGUUUCACUAUUAUAGAUGACUACUGAUCUGUAUUUCUUAAUCACACAUUACAAUUUUAAAUGAGUUGCAUAAACGUAAUAUCUUAAACAAGAUAGAAAUAUAGAUAUAACAAAAUUAACUUUAAAUUUGUAUCAAUAAACCAAUAUCCAUAUCAAUGUAAAAUAUUUUGAAAUUAACAGUUGCUUUUUGGAUUAAAGUAGAUUCAUAAUCUACCCUUUUUUCCAUCAUAAUAAUCUACCUUUUUUCUCAUAUUUCUAUAUAUAUCCCCCUUUCUUCUUUUAGAAAGAGGGUGACUAUGACCAAUAACAAUUUGUAACCAACCCCCUUUAAAUGAAAACAAACAUUUAUAAUCAAUAUUCGGGGAAUGUGGGAGUAAUUUUCUAGACUACUUCCUGCUGAUUGGUGGGCACUGGUAAUCUUUGAGGGACCCUGAGAAAAUCAGGAUAAUUGUUAAAUCUUGGCUGGAGUAUUCUGUGAGCCUGGAUCAUCUCAGUCAGCAGCCUUGAAGCUGUUUUGGAUGCUGGAUCACCUGGGCCAUUUUUAUUGGUAUCUGGUCUCCUUGUUCUGAAAAUAUAUAUAACUUUCAAAGGUAACAUAUGUAUUUGUAUUAAUACAAAUAUAAAUUGUGCAUUUGUACACAAGCCAAAGAUAAUUUUGUGUUUCAUGUUUGGGCAUGUAAAAUAUACAUAAUGUGUCUUGUAGUUACUUUAGGUUUAUUUUACCACGUCUGUAGUCAGGAUUUCAGGAGGUCUUCCUCAAUCAAACCUGAUUUUCCUUAACCCAGAAUGAAUCCAUAGCAUUUCAUUUUCUGUGGAAAUGAAAGGAUAUCCUCUCCCCCAAAGUAACACAUCUUUUGAUUUAAAUUUUGAAGACAAGAUCAUUUUAAAAUAUGUUGGUUGGUUUAAUUUAGUAGCUUUCACAAUCAAAUAUCUCUCAGCAAUUAUCAUUUGCCCAUUAACAGUUAAAAAAUCCAAAGACAACACAAUAAAAUAGAGAAGCCAGGCUCUCUUUGUAUUUCCCAUAUUUAUGUAGCUUAUCAUACUUUUUAUUACUCUAUUCCCUUUUUAAGAACUUUACUAUUAUUUUUUAAUCAUUUUUUUAAUCCAUGACUGUUUCUACCCUUUCUCUUCUCUCUCCCAAGCCUACACAUAUUUUUCAAACACACUGUGACCCAUUUAGAAGCCUUUUUAUGUGAAUCUGUCCUUACUGUGUAUCUUUAAACCUUUUUGUCUGUAUGAGCAAAAACUCUCGAUCUGCGGUGUGGUGCACGGCUGGGAGACAUCUCUAUGUUCUGCAGGCUGUGUGAGACUUCGGGAAUCUGCCAUGCUGCAGCUCAAGCCUGCAUGCCGCAGCCAGGGGACACGUGUCUGUACUGCGGCCUGUAUGAGAGAGCUGAACAAUGAAGCUGCUCUUGGCUCCAUUUUUGUGUGUCUAGAACCCUUUUUUUUAAAGCUUUCUCAGGCUUUAUGUGGAUGGACAUGCCCCACAUUGGGCUGCCAUAUGUAAAUGGAGGUGGAGCUUUUCUGUCCCAACAGCCCAGUCCCAAAUAAACAUACAAAAGCUUAUAUUAAUUACAAAUGUUUAGCCAGUAGCUCAGGCUUAUUAUUAACUAGCUCUUACUUUUGAAUUAACCCAUUUCUGUUCAUCUAUGUAUUGCCAUAUGGCCCAUGACUUUACCAGUCCUCUGGCAUCUUGCUUUUUGAGCGUCUCACUUGCAUCUCUUUCGACUUCACCCCUCUUCAUCCCAGUCCUCAUUGAUUGUCCCACCUAACUUUAUCCUGCCUUGCUAUAGCCAAACAGCUUUAUUAUUAACCAAUGACAGCAAUAAGUAUUCACGGCAUACAGAAAGAUCAUCCCACAGCAAGAAACAACUCCUGAAAUUUAACUUCCACAAGCACGCAGGCCACGAGAGCACACACACAUCAAUAGUAAUAAAUAAAAAUAGCAAUGUUUGGUUAGUUUGCAUAAGGCUCUGGGUUGGAUCCUCAGCAGCAGCACUUAAACCAGGCCUGAUGGUUGCAUGCCUACAAUUACAUUACUUGGGAGGUAGAGGCAGGAAGGUCAGAAGUUCAAGGUCAUCCUCAGCUACAGAAUGAGUUCAAGGCUAAGUUGGGCUAUAUGAGCCCUUAUCUUAAAAACAAAAGGGGGUGGGGGUGGUAUUGUGAUUGGCUCAUAACUGGACUACGCCAUUAACUAGCUGGAUUAUUUCGACUAAAUCAUUCAUCCUUCAGGGCUACUGUUAGCCUGGGAGGACAAGACUGGACCUGACCUGUCUCAGAACUCAGGAAAGCUGUGGCUCACCCUAGCUCCAGCUCAGGCCCUCUCCACAGGGUGGUGCAGCCGUGGAGAGAAUAGGGACCUGCUCUGCUACCAAGGACCCCUAAGGACUUGACUAAACCUUUUGCAAGGAGGUCCAGAGAGGAAAGUGAGUCUUGGGAGGGAGACCUGGGCUUUGGUGCUAGCUGUGCGUCCGUCUUGGGGUGCCACCUUCCCUGGCCCCUCUUUCUUUUCCAGCCAAGGAACAAAGCUUGAUUCUCUGGCACUUUCUCCAUCCAUCAGUAGACAUCUUUACAGAUGUGUCCAGAGUUCUUGCCCUCUGGGACUCCCUUGUGGUAAGUGUAUGUCACCACCACAUACUCCCUUCCUUUUCCUUGGUGCUACUGGACACCUCAGUGCUACCUGGCCAGUCUCCUGUUGCACCCUGUGGCUGUUGAAUCAGUCCCUUACCCAUGGACACCUAGCUUACUGCUGGUUGCCACGCAAACAAGCAACCCUACAACUUUUCUUUUAAAGAUGGGGUCUCAUGUAGCCCCAGACUGGCGAAGAAUUCAUUUGGGUUCCCAAGGACGGCCUUGAACUUCUCAUCUUGAGGCUUCCGCCCCUCAAGUACUGGACUCAUGGGCAUGCGGCACUGUGCCUGGAUUUUGUUUCGGUGCCAGGAUUUCAUGCAUUCUAGGUGAACUCUCUGCCAACUGAGCUACACCCCAACCCUGCAGUGAAUGUCUUGAUGUACCCCAUGCACAUCUGUGUAGUGACUUCUGUAGGAUAAAACUGUAAAUACACAGUUGGUGGGCAGAAAGGCCUUACCUUUUACAAGGCAGCAAAAGCCUGCAAGCUCUACCAAAAGUCAACCAGCACUGGCCUCGGCCCAGCCCUGGUGCAGGGCCUGGCAUAGCCAGGGUCCCCGCCUCCUGUGGAUUUGGAAACCAGCUGAGAAGAAGCACACACUUCCAUCAGAGACAGAUGCUACUGAGGAAGCAAAUAGGGGCCCAGAGGAAUAUUUCUGAGCAGUGAUGUGAUGGCCUGGCUGAACAAAGUCCAAGGGGCCAUCUUGUAGGAGUGGGCAGAGCCAGUGCAAAGGCUGAUGGGUAGGAGGUUCGGGAUGAUGGCCAGUGUGCCUAGGGUGGGUGGAAAAGAGCAAGAUCGGCUCAAGAGAAAGGUCAGAGGCGGCUCUGUGGAGAACUCUACGAACUGGGGAGUAGGGGCCACGGUGAGGGAGUGAUCUCAGAGAGGCCGUGUGGGGCACUGCUAUUGUUGAAGGUAAAGACCCUGGGAACUCCAGCAGGGGAUGGAGGGGAAGGCGGGAAGUGCACGGAUUCAAGACCCCUGUGAGGGUCUUGGGUGCAGUUACAUGGUCAGCAGAGAAGGGGGAAAGUCCAGGAUGACUUGUAGGCUUUUGUGGAGGCAGUUGGUCUCCUCUGAGGAAGGCAGAAGAAGGAGAGCUGCUGCAGUGGGUGACAUCUGAGGAAUACAGACAGACACACAGCCUGUUAGGCCAGCCUGCUGCUUGCCUUGUUCCAGCCUCCAGGACCUACUGCUCUCUGCACAGAAAGGAGUUAAAUAGAGGCUGUGGAUGCAGCUUAGUUGGUAGGGUGCUCACCCUGUAUGCAGGAAGUCCCGGGUUCCAGCCCCACUCUGCAUUAAACAGAGCAUGGUAAUCCCAGCACUUGGAGAUGGAGACAGAGGAGCAGAUGUUCGAGGUGAUGCACUGGAGGCCAGGCUGGACUCCAGAGACCCUGUCAGAAGAAAAACAGGAAGGGUGAGAGGGAAGUGGUAAGGAAAGGAAAAAGAAAACAGAAAAAAUAAAUAAAAGGAGUGGACAGACAUGAAUAGGAGGAGUGAAGAAAUGGAUGCCCUGCAGAGGGCUUGGAGGAGAGCGGACAGGUGCCUGGUCGCUAGCUUGAUCGUUGCUGGUCUCUGGAAAGGUCACACAAACAGGCCAGCAUGGAGAUACAGCCAGCUCUGUCAAGUCCUAGGCUUGGCCAAACAGGAGAUCGUCUGGAUCUAAGGAAGACUCGACGAUCAGAGAUCUGAGAACCAGAAGAGGGUAAAUGCAGGGGCCAAGUAGGAACAUGAGGGCUAGUGAUCAGCUCAGCAGAUUCAAGAAAAGCAUUUGCCAAGAAGGGGCUGGCCACGUAGAGUGUGAGGGAUAAAGAAGAGUUCACAGAACUGGAGGAGGUAGACAUGGGAUUCUCCUGCAUACACUGAGAUAGGGGGCUACACGAAUCCUAAAUGGUCAUAUAGUAAAAACCCAGAGCCAGACAUUAGAGGGAAAGCUGAAAAAUCAGAGAAGCAGAGCAAGCCACAGCCACCACCUCUUACCUCACCAACUCCUCAGCCUGACAAGAGAGUGAGUUCCUGUCUCCUCCUGCCUUAUAUUCCUUUCUCUGCCAGCCAUAUCACUUCCUGUCUCAACCUUCCUAGUGCUGGGAUUGAAGGUGCGUGAUCCCAAGGGCUGGAAUUAAAGGUGUGUGCCACCAC
Molecule: long non-coding RNA, 9049 nt
Organism: Peromyscus californicus insignis
Lineage: Eukaryota; Metazoa; Chordata; Mammalia; Rodentia; Cricetidae
Exons: 3
Source: RefSeq, a predicted model, not a curated record